RNAcentral lists this ribosomal RNA (376 nucleotides) under uncultured bacterium. Its description in RNAcentral is "bacterial SSU rRNA". It matches the Rfam family "Bacterial small subunit ribosomal RNA", at positions 521 to 896 of the family's 1533-position model. The record is from RNAcentral.
UAAUACGUAGGGGGCAAGCGUUGUCCGGAAUUAUUGGGCGUAAAGCGCGCGCAGGCGGUCAUUUAAGUCUGGUGUUUAAUCCCGGGGCUCAACCCCGGAUCGCACUGGAAACUGGGUGACUUGAGUGCAGAAGAGGAGAGUGGAAUUCCACGUGUAGCGGUGAAAUGCGUAGAUAUGUGGAGGAACACCAGUGGCGAAGGCGACUCUCUGGGCUGUAACUGACGCUGAGGCGCGAAAGCGUGGGGAGCAAACAGGAUUAGAUACCCUGGUAGUCCACGCCGUAAACGAUGAGUGCUAGGUGUUAGGGGUUUCGAUACCCUUGGUGCCGAAGUUAACACAUUAAGCACUCCGCCUGGGGAGUACGGUCGCAAGACUG